AGCGAACGCUGGCGGCAGGCCUAACACAUGCAAGUCGAACGAACCUUUCGGGGUUAGUGGCGGACGGGUGAGUAACACGUGGGAACGUGCCUUUAGGUUCGGAAUAACUCAGUGAAACUUGUGCUAAUACCGAAUGUGCCCUUCGGGGGAAAGAUUAAUCGCCUUUAGAGCGGCCCGCGUCUGAUUAGCUAGUUGGUUGAGGUAAUGGCUCACCAAGGCUACGAUCAGUAGCUGGUCUGAGAGGAUGAUCAGCCACAUUGGGACUGAGACACGGCCCAAAAUCCUACGGGAGGCAGCAGUGGGGAAUCUUGCGCAAUGGGCGAAAGCCUGACGCAGCCAUGCCGCGUGAAUGAUGAAGGUCUUAGGAUUGUAAAAUUCUUUCACCGGGGACGAUAAUGACGGUACCCGGAGAAGAAGCCCCGGCUAACUUCGUG
Molecule: ribosomal RNA, 434 nt
Filed under: uncultured bacterium
Lineage: Bacteria
Description: partial 16S ribosomal RNA
Rfam family: Bacterial small subunit ribosomal RNA
Source: RNAcentral